Molecule: ribosomal RNA, 418 nt
Filed under: uncultured eukaryote
Lineage: Eukaryota
Description: SSU rRNA
Rfam family: Eukaryotic small subunit ribosomal RNA
Source: RNAcentral
CAAUAGCGUAUAUUAAAAUUGUUGCAGUUAAAAAGCUCGUAGUUGGAUCUGCGGUUAGGGCUUGCGGUCCACCACGCGGUGGUACUGCUCGUCCCGACCUACAUCGAAUCGAACCGCGUUGCUCUUCGCUGAGUGACCGGGAAGGCUCGAACGUUUACUUUGAAAAAAUUAGAGUGUUCAUAGCAGGCCCAGACGCCUGAAUAAUGUUGCAUGGAAUAAUGGAAUAGGACCUCGGUUCUAUUUUGUUGGUUUUCGGAGCGGAGGUAAUGAUUAAUAGGGACGGCCGGGGAGUCGUAUUACGUGUAGAUGUGAAAGUUCAUGGGGAUCAUCGUAAGACGAACUACAGCGAAAGCAUUUGCCAAGAAUGUUUUCAUUAAUCAAGAACGAAAGUCAGAGGUUCGAAGAUGAUUAGAUACCG